RNAcentral lists this ribosomal RNA (470 nucleotides) under Pulchrascaris chiloscyllii. Its description in RNAcentral is "partial 12S ribosomal RNA". The record is from RNAcentral. Lineage: Eukaryota; Metazoa; Nematoda; Chromadorea; Rhabditida; Anisakidae.
CACUUUAUAAACUUUAACUCUAAUUAAUGUUAAUUUAAAGUUGUUUUUAUUGUUUUAGUAUUUUUGGGUGAAAUCUGAAGUUUUUUUAUGUGUCGCUUUAAAUUAUAAGAUUUAUUAAACAACCCAGAUUAGUACCUGGUUAGAUAAAAUUUAAAAGAGCAGGAGUAAAGUUGUGUUUAAACUGUAAGAAUAUUGGCAGAUUUUUAAAUUAUCUUUGGAGGUUGAGUAGUAAUUGAGAGCCCUCAUUAACAACUUUUCUUUUUGGACGCAUGUAUGAUCGUUUAUUUUAUUCUUAGGGAUUGUAAUUUUAGUUUGUAUCGGCUUUAAAAAUAGAUAAAUAUCUGGCCUAUAAGAAAGUUUUAAUUUGACCUACAAUAUUGUAUUUUAUGGACUAGGAUAUUAGUUUGUUCUAUGAAAUUGUAAAAGACAGUAAUUUACUUUUUAUGGGUAAAUGAAGUUUAUUUAAAAAU